RNAcentral lists this ribosomal RNA (212 nucleotides) under uncultured Pseudomonas sp. Its description in RNAcentral is "partial 16S ribosomal RNA". It matches the Rfam family "Bacterial small subunit ribosomal RNA", at positions 1172 to 1382 of the family's 1533-position model. Lineage: Bacteria; Pseudomonadati; Pseudomonadota; Gammaproteobacteria; Pseudomonadales; Pseudomonadaceae. The record is from RNAcentral.
GGUGGGGAUGACGUCCAAGUCAUCAUGGCCCUUACGGCCUGGGCUACACACGUGCUACAAUGGUCGGUACAAAGGGUUGCCAAGCCGCGAGGUGGAGCUAAUCCCAUAAAACCGAUCGUAGUCCGGAUCGCAGUCUGCAACUCGACUGCGUGAAGUCGGAAUCGCUAGUAAUCGUGAAUCAGAAUGUCACGGUGAAUACGUUCCCGGGCCUU